This 722-nucleotide ribosomal RNA is filed under the name Guptibacillus hwajinpoensis. RNAcentral's name for it is "bacterial SSU rRNA". It matches the Rfam family "Bacterial small subunit ribosomal RNA", at positions 74 to 777 of the family's 1533-position model. Lineage: Bacteria; Bacillati; Bacillota; Bacilli; Caryophanales; Guptibacillaceae. The record is from RNAcentral.
GGGAGCUUGCUCCCUGAUCUUAGCGGCGGACGGGUGAGUAACACGUGGGCAACCUGCCCUGCAGACUGGGAUAACUCCGGGAAACCGGAGCUAAUACCGGGUAAUACAUCGCACCGCAUGGUGCAAUGUUGAAAGUUGGCUUUCUGAGCUAACACUGCAGGAUGGGCCCGCGGCGCAUUAGCUAGUUGGUAAGGUAAUGGCUUACCAAGGCGACGAUGCGUAGCCGACCUGAGAGGGUGAUCGGCCACACUGGGACUGAGACACGGCCCAGACUCCUACGGGAGGCAGCAGUAGGGAAUCUUCCGCAAUGGACGAAAGUCUGACGGAGCAACGCCGCGUGAGUGACGAAGGCCUUCGGGUCGUAAAGCUCUGUUGUUAGGGAAGAACAAGUACCGUUCGAAUAGGGCGGUACCUUGACGGUACCUAACCAGAAAGCCACGGCUAACUACGUGCCAGCAGCCGCGGUAAUACGUAGGUGGCAAGCGUUGUCCGGAAUUAUUGGGCGUAAAGCGCGCGCAGGCGGUCUUUUAAGUCUGAUGUGAAAGCCCACGGCUCAACCGUGGAGGGUCAUUGGAAACUGGAGGACUUGAGUGCAGAAGAGGAGAGUGGAAUUCCACGUGUAGCGGUGAAAUGCGUAGAUAUGUGGAGGAACACCAGUGGCGAAGGCGGCUCUCUGGUCUGUAACUGACGCUGAGGCGCGAAAGCGUGGGGAGCAAACAGGA